AUGAAGCGUCCACAAGUCGCGCCAAUUGCAACUGAUGUACUGAUGACCAAAAUGGUUGUAUGGUUAACUCUACUCAAACAAUGCGACACUCGACAAAGGAAAUGGAAAUGUUCUAACAUGAAGAAUGUCUACAAGUAUAAAAUACGAUACCGGAAGCAACUUUGUUCUUGGAUAAUUAUAAUGAUAAGAUUUUAUCACAGGAAGCAAUAAGAUCGUUAAACUUGCUGCAUUUGAAGGCAAUGUUACAUGAGGUUAAAGUAUCUGAUCUAUCUUCACUUGCGCGCCACCACUCCUUAACGUUCGUACUACAGUCCGGAAAUAUCCUUUGUGCUCGUAUACGAUCGCUCAAAUAACAUAUGGUUAUUAAUUUGUUAAAUAUUCAACGUGAUCGAAACAUAGAAUGGACUGCAAACUGGUUCAAAGUGAUCACAUAAAAUAGUUUCAACCAAGUUGUGGCAUCGCGCAAAUCUAAGGUGUCCAUGUCAGAUGACUAGGUCGUUUUUCUCUAUUACACAUUUGGCGAAGGAAAAAUGAUGAAAAAUGAUGGACGGAAUAAUGACGAGUUGUUAUCAGAUAGAACAAAUCGAGAUACUAACGCAAUCUUAAAUGGAAAGUAUAUUUUGAAGAUAUAUGAAAGUAUAUAGAUUCUUAAGAUAAAAGGAAAGAUUGUUGCACCUCUCGUGGCGAAAUAGGUAAAACGGAUGUGAAGACUACCAGCUUGCACGUUUUAUUGUAGAUGGUGCUACAACUCCUGUUAAUGUUCUUUAUCGUAGCUUACAAAAAAUUUAAUAUUCUAUUACAUACGACAUUGUAUUUAUUCAAUAAAAACUGCACUGCAUUAUUGCGAUGUAU
Nomia melanderi (Alkali bee) is the source of this 852-nucleotide non-coding RNA. The record is from RefSeq and is a predicted model, not a curated record. Lineage: Eukaryota; Metazoa; Arthropoda; Insecta; Hymenoptera; Halictidae.